Thunnus maccoyii (southern bluefin tuna) is the source of this 1469-nucleotide RNA transcript. It is a transcript of the gene named N-lysine methyltransferase KMT5A-A-like, with no coding region annotated. The transcript is spliced from 7 exons. NCBI's taxonomy places the organism in Eukaryota, Metazoa, Chordata, Actinopteri, Scombriformes, Scombridae. The record is from RefSeq and is a predicted model, not a curated record.
UGUUUGGCACAUUUCCUACACAGACACUUAAAAGACUGAAAGUCAACUGUAAAAUAGGUCUGCAGUAAGUUGUUAACAAACUAUGAUAGGUAAACUGAUCAGAUUUUUUUCUAUAUCUUUACUGAAGUCAUCAUCAUCUUUAGCAUGAGAUGUCAGCAAUGAGGCCACAGAGAGUGAAGAUUAAACCUAAAGAAGAGGCAGCAUAUUUUUCAUCCUUGGGCAAGGACGAGGAUGGAUUCAAUAUAAAAUAUAUUAAUUCAUUUAAAGGUCGAGGAGUGUUCAGUUGCCGCCACUUUCAGAAGGGAGACUUUCUUAUUGAAUAUCGAUUGGAAAUCAAACAGGAACAUGAAAACAGGCUAAGACUGUACCACGAUGCCCUGAAGGUUUUCAUGUUUGAAUUUCCCUACAAUGGGAAAAAACUAUGUAUUGAUGCAGCCAGAGAGGACGACUCUCUAGGGAGACUCGUCAACGAUGAUCAUGACAUCAGGCCAGGGGAAGAGAUAACCUACAACUAUGGAGAAUUCGGACUGGCCAUGGAGAUUAAAGGUUUCAACUGAAGCACAUCCUCACCAUGCAGCCUGGGCAUCUGACUGCACCAAAGAUGUUGAACAGCUUUUGGAUGAGAGAGAAUCUCCUGUCAUGUCCAGACAAGACACUUGUGAUGCUUGAAUAUUGCUCAGACAACAUUAAUCAGUGUGAAACCAGGCAGAGUCAAAUUCUCGGCUCCAGUUGGAUGAGACCAGCAGGAAACACAUGGGGAUUUCCCUCCCAGCCGUGAUGUCAGAGUAUAAACACUGGCGACGCUCCCAAACUGUGCUUCCAGUUGUUCGCAUAGCUAAUGAAAGGAAGUAACUCCUGUACGUACUUAACUGCAACCAGGCGGCACAAUCUCAACCUUGCUGGACGAGUAGAGCACAUUACCAGAUCUGAAGAAAACCGCUGUGCAACCCAACGCAGAAGAAGGAUGAAGGAUAACCUAUAUGCCUCACUUGCCUUUAAGUGAAUCGACUCCACUGUUUUCCUGCAACUCCACCGAGGAUCAGCUGCCAUGAACCCGCCGACAGAGUGAGAGGAACCAGAGGGACCAGAGGGACCAGAGAGACCGAGCCGGACCCGAAAGACAGACUGAGACACACCCUGCUGGCUUCCUAAAGCCACACGAGAGGCUGCGCAGAGAUGAGUUCAUUGUUGUUGUAGUUACUGUUGUUUACUGCUUGUUUGGUUGUGUUUACCACACUAAACUCAUCAGUGUUCAUCCAGCUGCUUGGAGCACUUUGUGUUCACUCAACGUCACGUGUGAGACAGUGGGUUGUAUUUUAUUUGUUGAAGUCAGAUGGCGGCCGGCGAAUAAAGAUGCACCCCACGUCUCUCUGGAAAUAAAAGCAAGCAGCGCUUUUCCUCACGAUAGCUGAGAUCUUUGUUGCUUCCAUCCACGCGCACACACACACACACACUCACACACACGCACA